RNAcentral lists this ribosomal RNA (272 nucleotides) under uncultured Peptoniphilus sp. RNAcentral describes it as "partial 16S ribosomal RNA". It matches the Rfam family "Bacterial small subunit ribosomal RNA", at positions 524 to 796 of the family's 1533-position model. Lineage: Bacteria; Bacillati; Bacillota; Tissierellia; Tissierellales; Peptoniphilaceae. The record is from RNAcentral.
UACGUAGGGGGCUAGCGUUGUCCGGAAUCACUGGGCGUAAAGGGUUCGCAGGCGGAAAUGCAAGUCAGAUGUAAAAGGCAGUAGCUUAACUACUGUAAGCAUUUGAAACUGCAUAUCUUGAGAAGAGUAGAGGUAAGUGGAAUUUUUAGUGUAGCGGUGAAAUGCGUAGAUAUUAAAAAGAAUACCGGUGGCGAAGGCGACUUACUGGGCUCAUUCUGACGCUGAGGGACGAAAGCGUGGGUAGCAAACAGGAUUAGAAACCCGAGUAGUCC